GAUGAACGCUGGCGGCGUGCCUAAUACAUGCAAGUCGAGCGAACAGACGAGGAGCUUGCUCCUCUGACGUUAGCGGCGGACGGGUGAGUAACACGUGGAUAACCUACCUAUAAGACUGGGAUAACUUCGGGAAACCGGAGCUAAUACCGGAUAAUAUAUUUAACCGCAUGGUUCAAUAGUGAAAGACGGUUUUGCUGUCACUUAUAGAUGGAUCCGCGCCGCAUUAGCUAGUUGGUAAGGUAACGGCUUACCAAGGCGACGAUGCGUAGCCGACCUGAGAGGGUGAGCGGCAAAACGGGAACUGAGACACGGUCCAGACUCCUACGGGAGGCAGCAGUAGGGAAUCUUCAGCAAUGGGCGAAAGCCUGACGGAGCAACGCCGCGUGAGUGAUGAAGGUCUUCGGAUCGUAAAAAUCUGUUAUUAGGGAAGAACAAAUGUGUAAGUAACUAUGCACGUCUUGACGGUACAUAAUCAGAAAGCCACGGCUAACUACGUG
RNAcentral lists this ribosomal RNA (497 nucleotides) under uncultured bacterium. RNAcentral describes it as "partial 16S ribosomal RNA". It matches the Rfam family "Bacterial small subunit ribosomal RNA", at positions 28 to 507 of the family's 1533-position model. The record is from RNAcentral.